Molecule: ribosomal RNA, 383 nt
Filed under: uncultured eukaryote
Lineage: Eukaryota
Description: partial 18S ribosomal RNA
Rfam family: Eukaryotic small subunit ribosomal RNA
Source: RNAcentral
CAAUAGCGUAUAUUAAAGUUGUUGCAGUUAAAAAGCUCGUAGUUGGAUUUCUGGUGGGAGCAAUCGGUCUGGCGCUUAGCGCGAGUACUUGCAUCGUCUCCGGCCAUCCUUGGGGAGAGUCUGUCUGGCAUUAAGUUGUCGGGCAGAGGAUCCUCAUCGUUUACUGUGAAAAAAUUAGAGUGUUCAAAGCAGGCUUAUGCCGUUGAAUAUAUUAGCAUGGAAUAAUAAGAUAGGACUUUGGUACUAUUUCGUUGGUUUGCGCACCAAAGUAAUGAUUAAUAGGGACAGUUGGGGGUAUUCGUAUUCCGUUGUCAGAGGUGAAAUUCUUGGAUUUACGGAAGACGAACUACUGCGAAAGCAUUUACCAAGGAUGUUUUCAUUAA